This 94-nucleotide transfer RNA is filed under the name Burkholderiales bacterium. Its description in RNAcentral is "tRNA-Ser". It matches the Rfam family "tRNA". From Rfam's summary of the family: Transfer RNA (tRNA) molecules are approximately 80 nucleotides in length. Their secondary structure includes four short double-helical elements and three loops (D, anti-codon, and T loops). Lineage: Bacteria; Pseudomonadati; Pseudomonadota; Betaproteobacteria; Burkholderiales. The record is from RNAcentral.
GGAGACGUGACCGAGUGGCCGAAGGUGCUCCCCUGCUAAGGGAGUAUGGGGUGUAGAGCCUCAUCGAGGGUUCGAAUCCCUCCGUCCGUUUCCA